RNAcentral lists this transfer RNA (72 nucleotides) under Cavia porcellus (domestic guinea pig). It matches the Rfam family "tRNA". Rfam says of the family: Transfer RNA (tRNA) molecules are approximately 80 nucleotides in length. Their secondary structure includes four short double-helical elements and three loops (D, anti-codon, and T loops). The record is from Rfam by way of RNAcentral. Lineage: Eukaryota; Metazoa; Chordata; Mammalia; Rodentia; Caviidae.
GGGGCUGUAGCUCAGUGGUAGAGUGGUUGCCUAUAAUGCAUGAGGCCUUAGGUUCAAUUCCUAAUACUACUA